GGUUCGACUCCGGAGAGGGAGCCUGAGAAAUGGCUACCACAUCCAAGGAUGGCAGCAGGCGCGCAAAUUACCCACUCUCAGUACGAGGAGGUAGUGACGAAAAAUAACAAUGCGGGACUCAUCAGAGGCCUCGCAAUUGGAAUGAGCGCACUUUAAAUCGUUCGACGAGGAUCUAUUGGAGGGCAAGUCUGGUGCCAGCAGCCGCGGUAAUUCCAGCUCCAAUAGCGUAUAUUAAAGUUGUUGCAGUUAAAAAGCUCGUAGUUGGAUCUGGGGUCCGGGUCGGCGGUUUGCCGCUUCGGCGGCUACUGCCGUGCUCGACUCUUACUAGCCGGUGCGUCUUGCGGUGCUCUUCAUCGAGUGCCGUAGGAGCCUGGCAUGUUUACUUUGAAAAAAUUAGAGUGCUCAAAGCAGGCGAUUCCGCCUGAAUAGUGUUGCAUGGAAUAAUGGAAUAGGACCUCGGUUCUAUUUUGUUGGUUUUCGGAACUUGAGGUAAUGAUUAAGAGGGACGGUCGGGGGCAUUCGUAUUUCGGUGUUAGAGGUGAAAUUCUUGGAUCGCUGAAAGACGGACAAAUGCGAAAGCACCUGCCAAGAACGUCUCCAUUAAUCAAGAACGAAAGUCAGAGGUUCGAAGACGAUCAGACACCGUCCUAGUUCUGACCAUAAACGAUGCCAACUAGCGAUCCGCAGUGGUUGCUAUAAACGGACUCUGCGAGCAGCUUCCGGGAAACCAAAGUGUUUGGGUUCCGGGGGAAGUAUGGUUGCAAAGCUGAAACUUAAAGGAAUUGACGGAAGGGCACCACCAGGAGUGGAGCCUGCGGCUUAAUUUGACCCAACACGGGGAAACUCACCCGGUCCGGACACUGUAAGGAUUGACAGAUCGAGAGCUCUUUCUUGAUUCGGUGGACGUGGUGCAUGGCCGUUCUUAGUUGGUGGAGUGAUUUGUCUGGUUAAUUCCGAUAACGAACGAGACUCUAGCCUGCUAACUAGUUGCGCCGUGUUCAUACGCGGCUGUAGACUUCUUAGAGGGACAGGUGGCGUUUAGCCACACGAAAUUGAGCAAUAACAGGUCUGUGAUGCCCUUAGAUGUCCGGGGCCGCACGCGCGCUACACUGAAGGAGUCAGCGUGUGCUAUCCGGGCUCGGAAGAGUUCGGUAACCCGUUGAAACUCCUUCGUGCUUGGGAUUGUGGCUUGUAAUUAUCGCGCAUGAACGAGGAAUUCCCAGUAAGUGCAAGUCAUCAGCUUGCGCUGACUACGUCCCUGCCCUUUGUACACACCGCCCGUCGCUACUACCGAUUGAAUGGUUUAGCAAGGUACUCGGAUUGG
This 1324-nucleotide ribosomal RNA is filed under the name metagenome. Its description in RNAcentral is "SSU rRNA". It matches the Rfam family "Eukaryotic small subunit ribosomal RNA", at positions 374 to 1718 of the family's 1831-position model. The record is from RNAcentral.